CUUGAUCCAAAUUUAGUAACUACAAUUUGCAAAAAUGAAGAUGUUUAAUUUUUUUAACUUAUAAUACAAUAGUACCUGGUUUCAUUUAAAUCAUUUCCUCAUAGAACUGCAAGCAUUUUUGAAGGGCUGUUGGAGGAAGUAGAAAUCCCCCAAAUUAUCACACGCAGUUUCUAAAUGUCAUCUACCCACAUGCUUGCUGUUUAGAAUAAAGAAACAUAAGACAACUGAGAACCAAGGGAUUAAGUGCUAUUAACACACAGCUCAGCUCUAAUGCACUAGCUGUGAUGAUCACUUCAUGUAAGUCUCAUGUUUACUUGCGGGUUAGUUUUAGUGAGUAUUUACAACUUUUCUUUCCUCUGUAACAUUACCC
This 370-nucleotide long non-coding RNA is filed under the name Bos taurus (domestic cattle). RNAcentral describes it as "long non-coding RNA NONBTAT023124". The record is from RNAcentral. Lineage: Eukaryota; Metazoa; Chordata; Mammalia; Artiodactyla; Bovidae.